AUCAACGGUCCCGCCCGCUACCCGCUCGCUGGCAGCCCCGGCCGGCAGCUCCCCCGGCGGCCGCCUCUGCACCACUCGCCAACCUCCACGCCGGGCCGAGGUCAUGCCCGCCUGCCCCCAGCGCCGGGCGGCCCCCUCGUCGGGCCAGGCGGCCGCUCGAGAGCCGGGCUGGGGAAGGGGCCCGCGGCGGAGUUGGCUCGGGGACUCACCAGGAUCCACAAGCAGAAGAGCAGAGGAGCAGAAGAGCUGCACAGCAGAGGAGAGAAGAGAAGGAGCGUCUGAAUGUCGAGAGGAGUGCAGCUGGGGACAGUUGGAGAGGGGAUCGGCUGCCGGAUGGCUGAACUCCAGGGAGAGAUAUUCGUUCUACUCCAUCCCCUCUCCAGCUCCCUAUCUAUCCCACUGAGACCCACCCCUAUCCGGCAAUACAAUUUCCCGC
RNAcentral lists this long non-coding RNA (436 nucleotides) under Homo sapiens (human). RNAcentral describes it as "HSALNT0383094". The record is from RNAcentral. Lineage: Eukaryota; Metazoa; Chordata; Mammalia; Primates; Hominidae.